UACAGAGACCUCAAGUGUUAUCCGGAUUUAUUGGGCGUAAAGCGUCCGCAGAUUGUUUGACGGGUCAGGGGUUAAAAUCCAAUGCUUAACAUUGGAAUUGCCUUUGAAACUAUCAAACUAGAGGGUGGAAGAGGUGAGCGGGAUUGCAAGUGUAGUCGUAAUAAGCGUUGAUAUCUGCAAGAACACCAAAGGCUAAAGCAGCUCACUAGUACACAUCUGACGUUCAUGGACGAAAGCGUGGGGAGCAAACAGGAUUAGAACCGGUACC
RNAcentral lists this ribosomal RNA (268 nucleotides) under uncultured bacterium. RNAcentral's name for it is "partial 16S ribosomal RNA". It matches the Rfam family "Bacterial small subunit ribosomal RNA", at positions 524 to 787 of the family's 1533-position model. The record is from RNAcentral.